Molecule: ribosomal RNA, 393 nt
Filed under: uncultured bacterium
Lineage: Bacteria
Description: partial 16S ribosomal RNA
Rfam family: Bacterial small subunit ribosomal RNA
Source: RNAcentral
AUACGGAGGAUGCGAGCGUUAUCCGGAUUUAUUGGGUUUAAAGGGAGCGUAGGUGGGAUAUUAAGUCAGCUGUGAAAGUUUGGGGCUCAACCUUAAAAUUGCAGUUGAUACUGGUUUCCUUGAGUACGGUACAGGUGGGCGGAAUUCGUGGUGUAGCGGUGAAAUGCUUAGAUAUCACGAAGAACUCCGAUCGCGAAGGCAGCUCACCGGGCCGGAACUGACUCUGAUGCUCGAAAGUGCGGGUAUCAAACAGGAUUAGAUACCCUGGUAGUCCGCACAGUAAACGAUGAAUACUCGCUGUUUGCGAUACACUGUAAGCGGCCAAGCGAAAGCGUUAAGUAUUCCACCUGGGGAGUACGCCGGCAACGGUGAAACUCAAAUGAAUUGGCGGGG